RNAcentral lists this ribosomal RNA (300 nucleotides) under uncultured Pyrobaculum sp. RNAcentral's name for it is "bacterial SSU rRNA". The stretch from base 52 to 300 matches the Rfam family "Bacterial small subunit ribosomal RNA", at positions 547 to 795 of the family's 1533-position model. The record is from RNAcentral. Lineage: Archaea; Thermoproteati; Thermoproteota; Thermoprotei; Thermoproteales; Thermoproteaceae.
UCGGACGACGUGCAGGUCGGCGGGGUAAAAGGGGUGAGGGAAGGGUUAUCGGGAAUUACUGGGCGUAAAGGGCAGUCAGGCGGCGGCGUAAGGCGGACGUGAAAGCUCCUGGGUCAACUGGGAGAGGUCGUUCGGAACGGCGCGGCUUGAGGUUGGAAGAGGAGAGCGGAAUUCCCGGUGUAGUGGUGGAAUGCGUAGAUAUCGGGAGGAACACCAGUGGCGAAAGCGGCUCUCUGGUCCACACCUGACGCUCAGGUGCGAAAGCGUGGGUAGCGAACGGGAUUAGAUACCCCUGUAGUC